RNAcentral lists this ribosomal RNA (352 nucleotides) under uncultured Streptococcus sp. RNAcentral describes it as "bacterial SSU rRNA". It matches the Rfam family "Bacterial small subunit ribosomal RNA", at positions 1027 to 1382 of the family's 1533-position model. Lineage: Bacteria; Bacillati; Bacillota; Bacilli; Lactobacillales; Streptococcaceae. The record is from RNAcentral.
AUCGGUGACAGGUGGUGCAUGGUUGUCGUCAGCUCGUGUCGUGAGAUGUUGGUUAAGUCCCGCAACGAGCGCAACCCCUAUUGUUAGUUGCCAUCAUUCAGUUGGGCACUCUAGCGAGACUGCCGGUAAUAAACCGGAGGAAGUGGGGAUGACGUCAAAUCAUCAUGCCCCUUAUGACCUGGGCUACACACGUGCUACAAUGGUUGGUACAACGAGUUGCGAGUCGGUGACGGCGAGCUAAUCUCUUAAAGCCAAUCUCAGUUCGGAUUGUAGGCUGCAACUCGCCUACAUGAAGUCGGAAUCGCUAGUAAUCGCGGAUCAGCACGCCGCGGUGAAUACGUUCCCGGGCCUU